This 407-nucleotide ribosomal RNA is filed under the name uncultured bacterium. Its description in RNAcentral is "partial 16S ribosomal RNA". It matches the Rfam family "Bacterial small subunit ribosomal RNA", at positions 30 to 526 of the family's 1533-position model. The record is from RNAcentral.
AUUGAACGCUGGCGGCAGGCCUAACACAUGCAAGUCGAGCGGAGGGGAGGACGGGUGAGUAAUGUCUGGGAAACUGCCUGAUGGAGGGGGAUAACUACUGGAAACGGUAGCUAAUAACGCAUAAACUCAGAUGAGCCUAGGUCGUAUUAGCUAGAGGGUGGGGUAAAGGCCCAUCAAGGAGACGAUCCGUAACUGGUCUGAGAGGAUGAUCAGUCACACUGGAACUGAGACACGGUCCAGACUCCUACGGGAGGCAGCAGUGGUGAAUAUUGGACAAUGGGCGAAAGCCUGAUCCAGCCAUGCCGCGUGUGUGAAGAAGGUCUUCGGAUUGUAAAGCACUUUAAGUUGGGAGGCGUUACCAACAGAAUAAGCACCGGCUAACUUCGUGCCAGCAGCCGCGGUAAUUC